Molecule: long non-coding RNA, 311 nt
Filed under: Nicotiana benthamiana
Lineage: Eukaryota; Viridiplantae; Streptophyta; Magnoliopsida; Solanales; Solanaceae
Description: long non-coding RNA (NBEN_LNC001804)
Source: RNAcentral
CUGAGCCAAGGAAUAAAGCAGGUGAUUAAGGUGAAAAAGCUCUUUCUUUAAAGGUCAAGUUCUAAAAAAACUCUCAUUAAUCCCGCCUUUCUAUAAUCUCAUGACUAGGAAUGUCAUGAUCCAUCAAUAUUGUUGGAUUUUGCAUUUGUUACUGCUGAUAUUUGAUUUACCAGAAUAAUAAGUAGUUUAGUCAAAAGAGGAGUCUUUGUUAAAAUUUUAAUAGGAUAAGUUGGUUGAGAUAGUUUAGAUUUUUGAAUUUGAAUAUUUAUUCUCCUGAUUUUUUGCAGAUUCUGUUCUUAAAUUGGCUAUUU